UAAUGACAAACUGGCAUGUAACAUAAGCAUACCUUUUGAUGCAACUCUUGCAUCAGGCUUUACAUUUGCAAGAAAACUCUUGCAAUUUCUUUUCCAGUGGCCAGCUUUGCCGCAAUGGAAAUAGAUAUUUGAUCCGGAGAUUUUCUUUCCUUUCUUCCUCUUUAUCUUGCUACCUUUAGUAGCAUCAUCCCCCAUUGAUCCAAGAUCAGGAGUUUCGAAGAAGUAGGAAAUUUUCUCCUGAGUGAGUACAAUAUUUAAAUUCCUCAA
This 267-nucleotide long non-coding RNA is filed under the name Phoenix dactylifera (date palm). RNAcentral describes it as "long non-coding RNA (PDAC_LNC013083)". Lineage: Eukaryota; Viridiplantae; Streptophyta; Magnoliopsida; Arecales; Arecaceae. The record is from RNAcentral.